This 301-nucleotide ribosomal RNA is filed under the name uncultured bacterium. RNAcentral describes it as "partial 16S ribosomal RNA". It matches the Rfam family "Bacterial small subunit ribosomal RNA", at positions 509 to 808 of the family's 1533-position model. The record is from RNAcentral.
CAGUAGCCGCGGUAAUACGUAGGUCCCGAGCGUUGUCCGGAUUUAUUGGGCGUAAAGGGAGCGCAGGCGGUUUAGUAAGUCUGAAGUUAAAGGCAUUGGCUCAACCAAUGUAUGCUUUGGAAACUGUUAGACUUGAGUGCAGAAGGGGAGAGUGGAAUUCCAUGUGUAGCGGUGAAAUGCGUAGAUAUAUGGAGGAACACCGGUGGCGAAAGCGGCUCUCUGGUCUGUCACUGACGCUGAGGCUCGAAAGCGUGGGUAGCGAACAGGAUUAGAUACCCCCGUAGUCCCUGUCUCUUAUACC